CCUGUGAGCUUUCUAUUAGCAGAACUCUUCUCAGCUUAGUCUCAUUGGAUCUUAAAAGAAAGUGAGGGCCAUUUGCAAAGCACUCCGUCAGUGUAAGCCACUUCUCUGCUGCUGAUUCUUCUUUUUAUUUUAUGUGCGCCAGUUCAUACUUCCUCAUAGUAACUGUAACUGGCAAAUCUAAAAAGCUCAUGUCAGUAAGUAUCAUAUCAAACUUAAUGGGCUAGCAACAGUGGAGACCAACAGGUCUGUACAGGCGGCUAAAGCUGGUUUUGGUUUCAACUAUUGUUCCAUGUGACUCAGUAUUGUAGGGCCAACAUGAUUUUGGGGUACUUUAGUGCUAAUUUUUAAGAUUUACCUUGCAAGUACAGUGCAGUAGAGGAUUUCUAUACAGUAAAAACCUUUAUCCUCAACAGAAAACAUUUGUUGAUAUAUUUUAUAUCAAUAUUUGUUUGAUGGCCUGUGUGUAGCUGCUCUUUAGUUGUGCUUUUUGUGUUUUUAAUUUCUUUAUUCAAAAUGAAGAAAUCCAUCUAUUAGUUGAGUUUAGAAAAAGUUUGAGUUAUGCUGCAGGAAUCGAUCAAAGAGUUUUGGAUAUACUUUUAUUUUCUGUAAAUAUUUCUGUUGGAGUAUUUCCUGAAAUGUGAAUUAGAGGUUGACUCAUAUCUUUUUUUCUAAUCAUUUUUGUCACAUUGGCAAACACUCUGCAUGCACGUGUGCAGCCUGCUGUGCUAGAACAGAUGCAUUACAUGAACAUCAGCCUUGUCUGGGAGCUAUUUAAUAGUUUGGCUGAGUGCUCUUCGACGCUGGAUUGUUGCGUGAGACUCAUGAGGAGCGCAGAGCACCGCAGGGCAGCAAGCACGGGGUGUGGGGACACAUGGGAGUGGAGAGCACUGAGCAUGGACUUUUGAGAAGAAGACAUGACACGGGAGUCAGGGGAGCGCACGGGGAUUUAUUGUCAUUUUGCUGCACUGUAAAUAAACGCUUGUUCAGAUUAAUUAGAACAAAAUAGAAAGCAUUAAAAUAUGUUUAAAACACAACAGCCUUAAUAAACCCAGAGUAGUUUGGACCCGGUAGUAGGGUUCAUACAUCAUCACUUAAAGACCGGAUAUCCCACCUGCUGUCAAUGUUUUAAUGCAGUACAGUUGUUAUUAUUAUCACUUGUCACGUCCUCUUUAUGACAGUUAAAAUAAAUAAUUUUCAUAUAAGAAAUAAAAUUGUCUCAUGUAAACUGUAUAUGGUGUUAAAUAGGCCUAUACUAUUGUACUUUAAUGUUAAUCAUAAGGGUGGUACUUCAAGAUCCAUAGAUUUUAUGAGGUGGUACUCACUGUGAAAAGAUUAAGAACCACUGAUCUACAGCAAUAGUUCCUCAGGCUUACUGGACAAUUUUCUGUUUUUCAGUUUUCCUUUAACCUUUUCAGCAGAAUGUUUUCAGUUUUUAAGCCACUUAACACUAACCUAUACAUGAUUCAAGGAGAAAAACAUUACCUAAAUCAAGGGAUGUCAGCAUUAACACAUUACAUGUAACUUAGCAAAGAACUAAUUUUAAAGUACCAAGCACAUAUCUGCAGAAUCUCAUAUACACACACACACACACACACACACACACACCUUCAUACACCAAGUGACUUUUUUCACAACACUCAGUGCAGACACAACAGUGCAAUAGAAAUGUGCAAAAGACUGUCUUGUGUCUGUAUCGUUCUAUUCUAUCUGGAGUUGCGCUGUCUUUGGUUUGUUUUUUUGCAAUUUUUGCACAGUGCACUUGUAGUCCUGUGUUGAUUACUAUUACAUGCCAUAUGUAGCACCAUGGUCUUGGAGGAACGUUGUCUUGUUUCACUGUGUACUGUACCAGUGCACACGGUUGGAAUGACAAUAAAGCCACUUGUCUCGACUAAAGUGUACCUUCCCAGCAAACAUGGCCCUUGUGACCCAUAUGGGCCCAUUGUCCCAGAUUUCUCUCUGAUGUGUCCUUUGAAAUAUAAAUGUGUGUCGAUGUUAGAAA
This is a long non-coding RNA of Oreochromis niloticus (Nile tilapia), 1999 nucleotides long. RefSeq lists it as uncharacterized. The transcript is spliced from 2 exons. The record is from RefSeq and is a predicted model, not a curated record. NCBI's taxonomy places the organism in Eukaryota, Metazoa, Chordata, Actinopteri, Cichliformes, Cichlidae.